AACGAACGCUGGCGGCAGGCCUAACACAUGCAAGUCGAGCGAAGCCUUCGGGUUUAGCGGCGGACGGGUGAGUAACGCGUGGGAAUAUGCCCUUCUGUACGGAAUAGCCCUGGGAAAGUGGGAGUAAUACCGUAUACGCCCUACGGUGGAAAGAUUUAUCGGAGAAGGAUUGGCCCGCGUUGGAUUGGGUAGUUGGUGGGGUAAUGGCCUACCAAGCCUACGAUCCAUAGCUGGUUUGAGAGGAUGAUCAGCAACACUGGGACGGUGACACGGGCCAGACUCCUACGGGAGGCAGCAGUGGGGAAUCUUAGACAAUGGGGGCAACCCUGAUCUAGCCAUGCCGCGUGAGUGAUGAAGGCCUUAGGGUUGUAAAGCUCUUUCAGCUGGGAAGAUAAUGACGGUACCAGCAGAAGAAGCCCCGGCUAACUCCGUGCCAGCCGCCGCGGUAA
RNAcentral lists this ribosomal RNA (449 nucleotides) under uncultured bacterium. Its description in RNAcentral is "partial 16S ribosomal RNA". It matches the Rfam family "Bacterial small subunit ribosomal RNA", at positions 29 to 523 of the family's 1533-position model. The record is from RNAcentral.